Molecule: non-coding RNA, 745 nt
Filed under: Nephus voeltzkowi
Lineage: Eukaryota; Metazoa; Arthropoda; Insecta; Coleoptera; Coccinellidae
Source: RNAcentral
UAAAUAUUUAAUUAUAGUAUUAAAAUUAUAUUUAUUAUGCUAUUUUAUAUAUGAAUUAUUUUUAGAUAAUAAAUUUGUAGUAUAUAGUUUUAAAUUUAAAAGAAAUUUUGAUUUAGGUAAUAAUAAUAAAGUUGACAAAAUUUGUGCCAGCAGUUGCGGUUAUACAAAUAAUUUAAUAUAAUUUUUUUAGUUAAAAUUAAAUGUUAAUUUUUAAUUUAAUUUAAAUUUAUUAGGUGAAAUUUUAAAUUUAUAAAAUUAUAAUUAUAAUAAUUGAAGUUUAGAAAAUUUAUGUUUAAACUAGGAUUAGAUACCCUAUUAUAAUAGUAAUAAUAUUUAAAACUAAAUGAUUAAUAGUUAAGUUCUUUAAAGUUAAAUAAUUUGGCGGUAUUUUAGUCUUUUCAGAGGAACCUGUCCUAUAAUUGAUAAUCCACGAUUAAAUUAACUUAAAUUAGAAAUUUAUAUAUCGUCGUGAAAAAUAUUUUUUUAGAAUUUAAUAUUUAGAAAAUUAGAUUUUAUAAUAAUUCAGAUCAAGGUAUAGUUUAUAUUUAAGAAGAGAUGGGUUACAUUAAAUUUAUUUUUGGAAAUAAAAUUUAAAUUUUUAUAGAAAUUGGAUUUGAAAGUAAUUAAAAAUUAUUUUGUUUUAAUGAUUUAGCUCUAAAAUAUGUACAUAUCGCCCGUCACUUUCAUUUUAAAAUGAAAUAAGUCGUAACAGAGUAGAUUUACUGGAAAGUGAAUCUAGAAGUCA